GGGGAUGUGGCUCAGUGGUAGAGCACUUGCCUGGCAUGUGCAGGGCCCUGGGUUCCAUCCCCA
This 63-nucleotide transfer RNA is filed under the name Marmota marmota marmota (Alpine marmot). It matches the Rfam family "tRNA". Rfam says of the family: Transfer RNA (tRNA) molecules are approximately 80 nucleotides in length. Their secondary structure includes four short double-helical elements and three loops (D, anti-codon, and T loops). RNAcentral also lists the same sequence under 3 other names. Lineage: Eukaryota; Metazoa; Chordata; Mammalia; Rodentia; Sciuridae. The record is from Rfam by way of RNAcentral.